RNAcentral lists this ribosomal RNA (377 nucleotides) under uncultured Acidobacteriota bacterium. RNAcentral describes it as "bacterial SSU rRNA". It matches the Rfam family "Bacterial small subunit ribosomal RNA", at positions 521 to 896 of the family's 1533-position model. Lineage: Bacteria; Pseudomonadati; Acidobacteriota. The record is from RNAcentral.
UAAUACAGAGGGGGCGAGCGUUGUUCGGAAUUACUGGGCGUAAAGGGCGCGUAGGCGGCCUGUUAAGUCGAACGUGAAAUCCCCGGGCUCAACCCGGGAACUGCAUUCGAUACUGGCAGGCUUGAAUCCGGGAGAGGGACGUGGAAUUCCAGGUGUAGCGGUGAAAUGCGUAGAUAUCUGGAGGAACACCGGUGGCGAAGGCGACAUCCUGGACCGGUAUUGACGUUGAGGCGCGAAAGCCAGGGUAGCAAACGGGAUUAGAUACCCCGGUAGUCCUGGCCCUAAACGAUGAAUGCUUGGUGUGGCGGGUAUCGAUCCCUGCCGUGCCGAAGCUAACGCAUUAAGCAUUCCGCCUGGGGAGUACGGUCGCAAGGCUG